Molecule: ribosomal RNA, 455 nt
Filed under: uncultured bacterium
Lineage: Bacteria
Description: bacterial SSU rRNA
Rfam family: Bacterial small subunit ribosomal RNA
Source: RNAcentral
AGUGAACGCUGGCGGCAGGCCUAACACAUGCAAGUCGAGCGGCAGCGCGGGGGCAACCCUGGCGGCGAGCGGCGGACGGGUGAGGAAUGCAUCGGAAUCUACCUCGUUGUGGGGGAUAACCUCGGGAAACCGGGACUAAUACCGCAUACGACCUACGGGUGAAAGUGGGGGACCUUCGGGCCUCACGCGAUGAGAUGAGCCGAUGCCGGAUUAGCUAGUUGGCGGGGUAAAGGCCCACCAAGGCGACGAUCCGUAGCUGGUCUGAGAGGAUGAUCAGCCACACUGGAACUGAGACACGGUCCAGACUCCUACGGGAGGCAGCAGUGGGGAAUAUUGGACAAUGGGCGCAAGCCUGAUCCAGCCAUGCCGCGUGUGUGAAGAAGGCCUUCGGUUGUAAGCACUUUGUUCGGUAGAAUACAUGUCGGUUAGUACCGACUGUGGAUGACGGUACCGAA